GGAAAGGCGCGCGAUACAGGGUGACAGCCCCGUACACAAAAAUGCACAUGCUGUGAGCUCGAUGAGUAGGGCGGGACACGUGGUAUCCUGUCUGAAUAUGGGGGGACCAUCCUCCAAGGCUAAAUACUCCUGACUGACCGAUAGUGAACCAGUACCGUGAGGGAAAGGCGAAAAGAACCCCGGCGAGGGGAGUGAAAAAGAACCUGAAACCGUGUACGUACAAGCAGUGGGAGCACGCUUAGGCGUGUGACUGCGUACCUUUUGUAUAAUGGGUCAGCGACUUAUAUUCUGUAGCAAGGUUAACCGAAUAGGGGAGCCGAAGGGAAACCGAGUCUUAACUGGGCGUUAAGUUGCAGGGUAUAGACCCGAAACCCGGUGAUCUAGCCAUGGGCAGGUUGAAGGUUGGGUAACACUAACUGGAGGACCGAACCGACUAAUGUUGAAAAAUUAGCGGAUGACUUGUGGCUGGGGGUGAAAGGCCAAUCAAACCGGGAGAUAGCUGGUUCUCCCCGAAAGCUAUUUAGGUAGCGCCUCGUGAAUUCAUCUCCGGGGGUAGAGCACUGUUUCGGCAAGGGGGUCAUCCCGACUUACCAACCCGAUGCAAACUGCGAAUACCGGAGAAUGUUAUCACGGGAGACACACGGCGGGUGCUAACGUCCGUCGUGAAGAGGGAAACAACCCAGACCGCCAGCUAAGGUCCCAAAGUCAUGGUUAAGUGGGAAACGAUGUGGGAAGGCCCAGACAGCCAGGAUGUUGGCUUAGAAGCAGCCAUCAUUUAAAGAAAGCGUAAUAGCUCACUGGUCGAGUCGGCCUGCGCGGAAGAUGUAACGGGGCUAAACCAUGCACCGAAGCUGCGGCAGCGACGCUGAUGCGUUGUUGGGUAGGGGAGCGUUCUGUAAGCCUGCGAAGGUGUGCUGUGAGGCAUGCUGGAGGUAUCAGAAGUGCGAAUGCUGACAUAAGUAACGAUAAAGCGGGUGAAAAGCCCGCUCGCCGGAAGACCAAGGGUUCCUGUCCAACGUUAAUCGGGGCAGGGUGAGUCGACCCCUAAGGCGAGGCCGAAAGGCGUAGUCGAUGGGAAACAGGUUAAUAUUCCUGUACUUGGUGUUACUGCGAAGGGGGGACGGAGAAGGCUAUGUUGGCCGGGCGACGGUUGUCCC
Molecule: ribosomal RNA, 1157 nt
Filed under: Escherichia coli
Lineage: Bacteria; Pseudomonadati; Pseudomonadota; Gammaproteobacteria; Enterobacterales; Enterobacteriaceae
Description: partial 23S ribosomal RNA
Rfam family: Bacterial large subunit ribosomal RNA
Source: RNAcentral